Molecule: small nuclear RNA, 107 nt
Filed under: Spermophilus dauricus (Daurian ground squirrel)
Lineage: Eukaryota; Metazoa; Chordata; Mammalia; Rodentia; Sciuridae
Source: RNAcentral
UCCAAUUCGAAUAAAGGAAAUGGUCAGACAUGGAAUGAUAACAGAGAAGAUCAGCAUGGCCUUUGUCCAUGGAUGACAUACAAAUUUGUGAAGCAUUUUAUAUUUAU